Molecule: ribosomal RNA, 565 nt
Filed under: uncultured Glomeromycotina
Lineage: Eukaryota; Fungi; Glomeromycota
Description: SSU rRNA
Rfam family: Eukaryotic small subunit ribosomal RNA
Source: RNAcentral
UUGGAGGGCAAGUCUGGUGCCAGCAGCCGCGGUAAUUCCAGCUCCAAUAGCGUAUAUUAAAGUUGUUGCAGUUAAAAAGCUCGUAGUUGAAUUUCGAGAUCAGUACGCUGGUCGUGCCUUCGGUAUGCACUGGUGUCACUGGUUUCUCCCUUCUGAAGAACCGUCAUGUCAUUAAGUUGAUGUGGCGGGGAAUCAGGACUGUUACUUUGAAAAAAUUAGAGUGUUUAAAGCAGGCUCGCGCUUGAAUACAUUAGCAUGGAGUAAUGAAAUAGGACGUUUGACCCUAUUUUGUUGGUUUCUAGGAUCGACGUAAUGAUUAAUAGGGAUAGUUGGGGGCAUUAGUAUUCAAUUGUCAGAGGUGAAAUUCUUGGAUUUAUUGAAGACUAACUACUGCGAAAGCAUUUGCCAAGGAUGUUUUCAUUAAUCAAGAACGAAAGUUAGGGGAUCGAAGACGAUCAGAUACCGUCGUAGUCUUAACCAUAAACUAUGCCGACUAGGGAUCGGAUGAUGUUAAUUUUUUAAUGACUCAUUCGGCGCCUUACGGGAAACCAAAGUGUUUGGGUUC